AAUUUGGGGGAACUGGUGCGAUUUUUCCUUCUGAAACGUACCAGGGCGGCCGAAGGAUUCUAGCCUUGUAUUUUUUAAGACGAGCGCUUAACAUCCGUCCCUACUGGGCCGGGAUAGCUGCGGGAAACUGCAGGUAAUACCGAAUAACGUCUCCGGACCAAAGGUGUGAUUCCACCUGGAGAGGGGCCUGCAUCCUAUUAGCUUGUUGGUGGGGUAACGGCCUACCAAGGCAACGAUGGGUAGCGGGUGUGAGAGCAUGACCCGCGUCAUUGGGACUGAGACACUGCCCAGACACCUACGGGUGGCUGCAGUCGAGAAUCUUCGGCAAUGGGCGAAAGCCUGACCGAGCGACGCCGCGUGCGGGAUGAAGGCCUUCGGGUUGUAAACCGCUGUCGUAGAGGAGGAAGUGCAGGGGGGUUAUCCCCUCUGUUUGACUUAUUCUAGGAGGAAGUACGGGCUAAGUUCGUGCCAGCAGCCGCGGUAAGACGAACCGUACAAACGUUACUCGGAAUUACUGGGCUUAAAGGGUGCGUAGGCUGCGCAGAAAGUUGGGUGUGAAAGCCCUCGGCUCAACCGAGGAAUUGCAUUCAAAACUACUGUGCUCGAGGGAGACAGAGGUGAGCGGAACUCAAGGUGGAGCGGUGAAAUGCGUUGAUAUCUUGAGGAACACCGGUGG
RNAcentral lists this ribosomal RNA (676 nucleotides) under uncultured Planctomycetota bacterium. RNAcentral describes it as "bacterial SSU rRNA". It matches the Rfam family "Bacterial small subunit ribosomal RNA", at positions 59 to 715 of the family's 1533-position model. The record is from RNAcentral. Lineage: Bacteria; Pseudomonadati; Planctomycetota.